UACAGAGGGUGCGAGCGUUAAUCGGAAUUACUGGGCGUAAAGGGCGCGUAGGUGGUUGUUUAAGUUGCUUGAGAAAUAUCUGGGCUUAACCUGGGUGCUGCGAGCGAUACUGAAUAGCUAGAGUAGGGUAGAGGGAAGUGGAAUUUCCGGUGUAGCGGUGAAAUGCGUAGAUAUCGGAAGGAACACCAGUGGCGAAGGCGGCUUCCUGGACUCAUACUGACACUGAGGCGCGAAAGCGUGGGGAGCAAACAGG
This 253-nucleotide ribosomal RNA is filed under the name uncultured bacterium. RNAcentral describes it as "partial 16S ribosomal RNA". It matches the Rfam family "Bacterial small subunit ribosomal RNA", at positions 524 to 776 of the family's 1533-position model. The record is from RNAcentral.